UUUUGAAAAAAUUUUUAUGUGGCAUUUACCAUUUCUUACGUCAUAAUAACUCUGGCAUGGAUGCUUGGCUUCAACUCAUUGGCUUGGCUUUAUGAUUCUUUUCUUGCAUUGCAGCAUUUUUCUUUUGCUUAAUUGAGUUGUGUUGCUAUAUAUUUAUUUAUUUGUUUUAAAAAAAAAUUCAAGUUAUCAAAAAGAGAAAACGGGAAAUACAGUGACUAGAUCAUUUGCUGGUCCAUCUUUAUGAUGUUUGAGGAGCGAAUAAAAUCUGGGAUACCUGGAGAUGGGAGAUGCUUGUUCAGGUCUGUGGUCCAUGGUGAUUGUUUGAGAUUAGGAAAGCCAUCUCCAAGUGAAGCCGAUGAGAGAGAGCUGGCUGAUGAGCUCAGAGCCAAAGUGACAGAUGAACUUAUCAAAAGACGAGCAGAUACAGAGUGGUUUGUUGAAGGUGAUUUUGACACGUAUGUUAUGAAAAUGAGGCGGCCCCAUAGUUGGGGAGGAGAGCCUGAGCUACUAAUGUCUUCCCAUGUUUUACAGGUUCCUAUCACAGUGCAUAUGUUGGAUAAGAAGACAAAUUCCCUCAAAGUAAUAGCCGAGUAUGGUCAAGAAUAUGGAAAGGAAAAUCCAGUGCGUGUUCUAUAUCAUGGUUAUGGGCAUUAUGACACAUUAAAGAACCAGUUUGGAGGCCUACAGUUAAAAAGUCUUCAUCAGCAACUGUUGCAGUGACACUACCUUUUGCGAAGCCAUUUCCUGACGUCUCUAGAAUUGAGGUUUUUGUUGACGAAAACUUCAAAAGGUGGCAAGAACGUGUCUACUCUCUACUCGACAUACAUGGAGUGGCCUAUGCACUGACGGAAUCUCAACCUGCUGCCACCAUAGAUGUCAAGAUACAAGAGUCGUGGAAAUAUGCCAAUAAGGUUAUGGAGCGUAUAUAGCCGUAUAGGCUAUAUGAUUAUAUCAGAUCCUCGUCAAAACAUGCAUCCCACGACUUUAUUCAUCAGCUCUGUGGCUGUAUGACAUAUCAGGGAAAUGUGAUAGGGAGGGGUUUUAUUCAUCAGCUCUGUGGCUUCAUCAGAAACAUCCCAAGACUUUGGCUUGCAAUGCUCCCGCAAUAGCAUAAUUCGGGUACUUCAAGGAUUUGCCAGAGAUUCUGCAUAGACUCCUCAAAGGUCCUGACCUCCAGGAAAAGGUAAGAGGGAGAUAGCAAAAAGGAAGCUGUACGGCGGAGAAGAAUGGUGCAAGAAAUUAAUGCUGCUGCCCAGAAUCGCAACCGAGGAACAGAGGAUUGCUUCAGGCAAGAAGUGUGUAGAGAGGUACAACAGCGAUCCAGUUUUCAGGUUCUUACACAAUCAGGUCGCACAUCUUUUUGCUGAGGCCUUGAAGAAUGAUAUGGAGAAUGUGAAGAUGGGAAAGCUCAGGAAUAUAAGCUUUGCAGCAAAAUGGCGUCCCUCUCUCUAUGCUGAAUGUGAUCGGUCCACGCUCAAGGAGAAUAUUUCCUCCAGACUUGCCUGAAUAUGACGGAAUUGAAGAUGCUCAUUCUGCAUAUAGAGUUCGGGAUCGAUUACGAAAGGAAGUCCUUGUACCACUCUGCAAGGCUCUCAAGCUGCCUGAGAUUUAGCCGACAGAUGGAAUGAGCUUCCUUAGGGCAGAGUUCCCUCAAUUGCAAUGCAGAAUUACGAAGAGUUGUUCCUUAAACAUGACGAGGAACGGUUCGGAGAGUAUCUUGAUAGCGUCAAGAGUGGAAAGCAAAAGAUUGCCGCUGGUGCUUUUCUUCCUCAUGAAAUCAUUAAAUCUUUAAAAUAUGGCGACGAUAACCAAGUUUCGGAGUUGCAAUGGAAGAGAAUUGUUGGUGAUCUUUGUACAAUUGGGAAGUUGAAAAAUGCCCUUGCUAUUUGUGAUGUCUCAGGAAGCAUGCAUGGAACCCCAUUGGAUGUCUCUGUCGCACUUGGACUGCUCGUUUCAGAGUCGAGUGAAGAUCCUUGGAAAGGGAAGCCCUUCCUCGGUUAAUUACAUAGAGAUCCUUAAUGAAUAAACAUUUCUAGAAAACUGUUUGGCAUGCCUUAAAGGGCCAAAUAAAUACAAACAAACUUGAAUGAAAAGGAAUGCACAAGAGUCCUGUCACUGCAGGUUUCAUCUCCACAGUUCAACGGAA
This is a non-coding RNA of Coffea arabica (coffee), 2146 nucleotides long. NCBI's taxonomy places the organism in Eukaryota, Viridiplantae, Streptophyta, Magnoliopsida, Gentianales, Rubiaceae. The record is from RefSeq and is a predicted model, not a curated record.